RNAcentral lists this ribosomal RNA (228 nucleotides) under Triticum aestivum (bread wheat). Its description in RNAcentral is "partial small subunit ribosomal RNA". The record is from RNAcentral. Lineage: Eukaryota; Viridiplantae; Streptophyta; Magnoliopsida; Poales; Poaceae.
AUGAAUAUCCUAGUUUGGAACUGCCGGGGGGGGGGGGACCGCCGGACAGUUCGUGAGGUGUUGGCCCUCUCUAAAGCCAAUUCCCCGGGGCUUGUUUUUCUCUCGGAAACAAGACAUGCCUCUUCGAAGAUGGAGAAACUAAAGUGGAGAUUGCAGAUGAAGGGUUUUGCUGGUGUCUCGAGUGAUGGUCUCAGUGCAGGACUUGCGCUCUUUUGGGAUGAGAAGUUG